UUAAUCAAAAUGGCAUAUGAGGUUAGGAGUAGUGGGAUCCAAGGACUAUUUCUGAAUUUGAACAUCUGUAGAUGGCCCCAUGAUGAGUAGAUUGGAGCUCUUAUAGGGAGGGAACGUUGGGCAUUAGUAAAGAAUAAGGGUGUGCUAACCACCCUGUGCCUCACAACAGUAAGAAGAAUUUGGCAGUCCUGCAGCAGCAGGUGCAUUGCCUCUCCCUACUCUGGCAGCUCUAUAACCUGGAGGCCACAGCCAGUAGCUACAGGUUUGCCUGCCUGGCUACUCUUAUGCAGAAGAAUUCAGCUGAUGAGUUUGCAAAUGAAGCCCAGGUUUGCCCAGGAAUCACAGUGGGACCUGUUUAAGCACUAUUUCUCCAACGCUUGCAGUUGGUGAAAAGAACCAAUGCCUCGCUAUUUGGUGCACAUGGCUUUGUCCGAUUCCUAGAAUGCCAUGUGUUAAUGUUACAGAAAAUGCCAGAGGGUAUCUUCAUGCAUAUUCCUCUAGAGCUUCACAGCCAAACCCUUGAGGCUUAUUUUGCCAUCAGUAACUCCUUCCUGUUCCCCCAGCCAUGAGUGAAUAUGCUGAAUGAGGACCUUUUACUGUAAGGAGUUCUUCUCUCAAUGUGUGACCUGCCCUGUCUAUCACCAGUGGGUAUCUGAGCUUAAGGCCUCUGUAAUGAGAUGUGAAAAGAGAGAAUUGAUGUCCCUGACUAACAGCAUCAGACCUUUU
Molecule: long non-coding RNA, 726 nt
Filed under: Homo sapiens (human)
Lineage: Eukaryota; Metazoa; Chordata; Mammalia; Primates; Hominidae
Description: non-protein coding lnc-NFYA-1:7
Source: RNAcentral